Molecule: long non-coding RNA, 5181 nt
Organism: Lynx canadensis (Canada lynx)
Lineage: Eukaryota; Metazoa; Chordata; Mammalia; Carnivora; Felidae
Exons: 2
Source: RefSeq, a predicted model, not a curated record
CCCGCUUCCCUUCACCCAAGCAGAUGAAACAGCGGAGAGCCAACACGUUCGCUCUCCUUGACUCCAAACGCUUAAAAAAAGCAAAAACCGAACACUUCAUUAAAGCCAGACAACUAACAAAGCCUUCCUUACAGACAAGAGUAUGAAUCUGAUGAGGAGUUGGACCCUGAAGAAGGUUCUCCAUAGCACGCCUUCAGGAAACAACAGACACCCAGCUUAGCUGCGGUUAGCAUGAAAAACAGUUUGCAACGCCUGGGGCCUCCCGGCAGCUCGGCUGGGUGAAACCUCAGACCUUGUAGCGACACUGCUGUUGCCGCCUCCGGCCAGGACCGCUGCCCUCCUCUGAGGAGCAGUCAAGAAGGAAUAUAGGUUUGUCCCCAAUGGAAGCAGCUCAGGACAGCUGCUUUGAGGACGAGACUCAGGCGAGGCUCACCGGGCGACUCAACUACCCCAUCUGCCGACUCAGCCAGGAAAUGCAGAAGACCGAGCCGGUUGGCGGUGACAUUUAUGAUUCAGAGAAACCCGCACAAGGACGACGCUAUUAGCCUCAUUUCACAGAUGAGGAAACCGAGGCUCCAAGAGGUUGAAUUCCUUUUGUCAAGUUCACAGACUUGUUAAGCGGCACGCCGGACUUUUCAAGGUAUUCCACUGACUAGCCACGCGGCGGGGAAAGCUAAUAGCACGUCGGGUGCUUAUAAAGUCUUGCUGUACGUGCUCAUUUCCCGAGCGCUGCAUGUUACAGCCGCUUCUGCUGAAAUGUGUUUUCACAACAAGUCUGCUCUUAACAAACACUGAUUCGUGUCUUUCCUACCCGCUCUUUCACAGCAGCAACAGAGCUGAGCACUGUCCCCAAACUCCGCCUUCCCCUCCCAACCCCACCGCCCAGCCUCUACCAGGCCUGCCUUGUCCGCUUGGACCAGGCCUCUGCAGAGCCCCCUCCAAAGGGCCCUCUGCCUCCUGCACUUCCGGCUUCCAGAGAGAUCAUUCUGAAGGACUCUUCCUUUUCAUUCACCACCCUCUUCUUCAGUUCUGCUUUUGGGCACAGUACCUUGGCCUCGGUUAGUUAUUUUUGUCUGGUUACACUUCCCCUGGUCAAAGAGGAGACCGAGACGGAAAGGAUAUUAUAUUUGUUUCUAUAUAUAAUCUGAUCUGAAAGUGCGGUUCAUGGAACUGGUCACAAAUGCAAAUGUUCCGCCUCACCCCAGACCUGCUGAAUCAUAAGCUGUGGGCUUCUGGUACCAAGAGCCGCUUUAACAAGCCCUCCAGGGGACUCUGAUGCACACUCAGGCUUGAGAACCACGGGGUGAAUGUCGCUCUCUGGUGCUCCUGGAGGUGCUGACAAGCACUGGGGUCUCUUCUAACAAAGGCCGCGGCUGGGAAAGCAAAUUUCCAAAAAGCGAGCAUGCAAACACACUGACCUUGUAGCUUUCAACCACCUCCCUUCCAAGGUUAGAGCCUGCGUGGGAAGGAAAGCAAGUCUGAGAGCGAGCAGCCUCUUCAAGUUACCCAGGGCCACAGCCAGCGAAAGUAGGACAGUCCCCAUCAUUUCGGAGUUAACGUCACCAACCCUGGGGGGAGGGGCUGAACGCCUCUCUCAUCGGCUCUGAAACACAUCAUAUCACGCUGUCCGUUCCAGACCUGCGGUAGAGUUUUGGAGGGUCUCCUACUUGGGUUUGAGGAUUUGCUAAUUUUCACUUGCAGAGAAUUUGUCUCUCGGGGGUUUUAUCGGAUCAGAUUCGGCUUGACCGCCCAUCACAGAAAACUAAAAAAUAUCCAUAAUUCCAGGAGUUUAAAGAGACGGAAAUCCAUGUUUCUCUCACAGGCAAGGCCAGAUGCAGGCGGCCAAGGUUUAUGAUGUCUCCACGAUCAUCAGGGACCCUGGCUCCAUUUUCUUCCCGCCUUCCCAUCCUUAACGGUUUAAUUCAUGGUAUGAAACGGCUACUCAUGAUGUCAACAUCACAUCUAAAUUCCAGCCAGAGGGAGGAAAAGAGCAAGUCCCCUUUCUCUGAGGGCACAUGCUGGAAGUUAAACAUGACAUCCAUUGCCUGGUCCCUAGUCACAUGGCAUCUCUAGUUGUAAGGGGGGAGGGGGGGCUGGGAAAUGUACGCUUUAUUUUGGACGGUCACAAGCCCGGUGAAAAAUCAGGAGUUUUAUUACUAAGUGGGAGGGUUGAGGAUUAGUAGUCUGCCUCAGAGGUCCAAUUUUAAGGACCGUGCGUCAACCUACAUCACUUCUGGCUUCCCGGGUCCACCCCAGAGUCUCUUGCCUGAGUUUCUGGGGCCGGUUCUGCCGGAAGACUAACCUCUCUGUUUUUCUCAGUCCUGAUGAACUUCACCAACAGCAAGAAAUUGUGUAGGUCUUUUUGGGAAGCGAGGGAGUUCCAAACUGCUCAUUUAUUCUCUACGUUAUUUCACGCAACUUGCUUUGGAGACUCCCGAGGCCGCGAGGGUCCUUCUGUGAUUCUCUGGAAAACAGCACAGUGUUGUGGGGUUUUUUUUGUUUUUUUGUUUUCUGUCAGAACAUAAGGCAAAGCGGCCUUUGCUGGGUCAUAAGUCAUGAAUUUGGCACGGAUUCCAGCCACCGUCAAGCGUGUUCUAGGGAACUGAGGUGGUCCUGCCCAGAAGCUUCCAUUUGUGUGCCUUAAGCACCAAACAACUCUUAAUGUUGAGGCCUUGGGAGUCUUCAUGUACGUAGUUUAGCGUCAUCACUGUCCCUGAGCCUAUUCUUGAAAUGCCUCUGGGGUAUAUUCUAGAAUACUCUAGAAUAUUCUAGAAUAUCUUAAUAUUCUGGGGUAUACUCUAAUAUAAAGGCUAUAUUCUAGCCUUUUUUUCUGGACCGUUAUGUCUCACAAAUACCGUAUCUCACAUUUCUGAAAUUUCUGAUGGCGGUUAGCUCCUAUGGGAGGUUCUAGAAACUGCUUCACUGUGUGCUCCACAGCCAUAUGGACCCAUCGUUACUGAGCCCCCAGGCCUGUGAGAAAGAGCACGGUGAGGGAUCACUCUCUCCAGCCUAAGCAGGGCUGCUGCAAGCGACGACACUAACAGAAAUCCAACCUACCCGGGGCUCACGCACCUGAAAAAUGCCGGGGUAGGUCUCACUUUGCACAUGCUCCAAGUGGUCAGAUCGUGGCGUGUGGGUUCUUUAUUCUCGGCCUUUUGGUUGUGCUUUCUUGGUCGGGCUUCAUCCUCAGGCAGCCUUUCUCCAGCCGUCAGAAAAGAUGACUUAAUCCCUGAGGGUAACUCCCUGGGGUCCUCCGCGGUAUGGACAGGCACAAAGAGCUGCCGGGAUAAAAACACUUGAGAACUGCUGGGCUACACACGGUGUUCUAGGCUUUGCUUGGCGGCCGGGCUACCGUGUAGACGGGCCCGCAUUAUGCAUGUGCCCCACCCGUGCGGUACAAGCGGGGUCAGCCACGCCCCAGACUUACCAGAGUGUUCCCCAAAGGAAAGCAGAUUUUGUUGCCAAGAGAGGAAGACUCAUGGCUUAACCAACAGCAGAGAUACCCCUUGACCGCCCCAGAUGCCAUGUUUGUUUACAGGAAACCAAAGUUUCACAUGCAUUUGGAAUGAGAACGUACGGAGUUGCCCAACGGCACAGAGAGAGAGAAAAAAAAAAAAGGAAAAUCCCUGGAAUCUUUUCCCACGGGACCCAGAUUUCCACUCUCCCCACGUCCCUUUGGUCUGGGGCCAAGGGAAGUGGAGAGAAGCUGGUAUAAAUGCGUGGGGGCUGGUCCUGUGGAAGGAGGCCUGAAGAAAAUUCCACGUAAAGAUUUUUAGUUGGUUGGGGUUUGGAGAACUCUUUUCACUAGGGACCAAAUCUCAUUCUAGUGCUUUUUGCCUGUGGCCAUGGGGAUGGUCAGGAAACGACUGUGACAAAUUCCCAAACGGACUAGCCCACCAGACAAUUUACGAGGAAAACCCUUGUUCAGAAAGGCUAGUGAAGGGCGCAUGACUCAGUUUCUUCCACAGAUACUGCCCAUUCUGUCGGGAAGGAAAACAAAGAGGGAAAAACAGAGAGAUGGGAUGUUACUUCAUCCAAAAGGUAUGGCUACGAUUUCUCCAGGACAGAGCCGAUUCUGUAAUAUGGGGACUGUUCCAGAAAGGGAGGCUCAAAGCUUCCCCCCCACCCCGGGGACAGGCUCCCGUGGCCCAGGUGGACACCAGACUGUGAUCUCUACCUUAGGACGGGAAUGCUUCCACUUGAUAACCAGCCAAUGAGCUUUUUAAGCCUCUAAAUCUUCAUGCAUUUUUUGAAGGGCCUUUUAUUAAAGACAUUUGCAUGGGAACAUUAUAAUGAACAUCCGUGUAGUCACCACUCAGCUUUCAGUUAUCAACCCACCCAUCUUGUUUUAUCUAUAUAUUCCCACCCAUUCCCUCCACCCCCACAGGAUUAUUUUGCAGCUAUCGUUUAACACAUCACAAUAUUUUAAGUAACUAUUUUUUAAAAGAUUAAAAAAAAAAUCACAGAAUCAUAAAACGUUUUAAUGGUGUCGCGGACUGACUUCUACAAACUCAGCAAUCAGAAUUAGGUACACAAGCCCCUCCCAAUUCUGUUUUUCUUCCCCCCCCCCACCGGCCCCCCAUCUGCCUUCCUCCCGGGUGAAUCACUGCAAUCGAGAAUAAUUACGGAGAUAUUUGGACAUCCCCUGUGCCAACAGCAUCAUCUCAAUUAUGCGCCCCAGGUCCAAGAACUGUGAGUCUUUGUAGGCAAAUCUGCACAUGCUUGCAUUUUUCCCUCCCAUUUUGAGACCAAAUGGCCUCAACAUUUGGUUUGCCAUGCGCGUCCUUCAUCCCAGGCCCCCCCCUUCCCCCCGGCAUUUGAAGGAAAUCUCUGCCUAUGUCUGGAUUUCCUCACACGCGUUCCCCGAGGCAGCGUGAGUUGCGAAAUACCAGAAUGGUUACAGCAGAGAUGUCUGUUCUGAAAACCAGAGGGCAGAGUCUGACCGACGGUGCCAAUGGCAGGAUGCCGUAUCCCAACCAAGAUGCAGGGACGCGUCUAAAUAUGCGGGUCCACAGCUUCUCGGGCACUUGCAGUGGAUUGUGACUGGACCCAUGAAGCCUUGAAAAGAUUUAGAAAAGACGAUCUUUGUGUGUAAAUAAAAAUAAACGACGUAGAACUCCGGAGUAAGUUAACUAUAAAGUGGAUUCCGAAGUGCUAAUAAAAAAAAAAAAAUGCAACUCA